AAUAUUAUUUCUUUUUUUUUUUUUCACUUUUUAGUUGGUAAUAUAUUUACAUAUCACCAAAAAAGACUUGUAAAUGACACAUAACGCCGAGAUCUAUCACUAUGGCAAUUGCUGCUAGCAAUAGCACAUCUAAACACUGUAAAUGGAUGAUAUGCCUAAGAAUUUCCAAUCUCUAAUUCUCUAUUACCAAAACAAUAGAGGCCGCUAAAUUUGAAGAAUCAAACUCAUAUGUUGUCUUUAAUGACAAUUCAAAUGCACAGCGUAUAAGGCAUUAAGCUCCCUCAAUUACCGCAUGAGAGGGAGAUCUAUUAGCUCUAGCAACCGAAAUACAUGGUGUAACACUAUUACUUCCACUGUGAUUAAGACUGCUGCUGAAACUCGACGGAGCAGGGGGUGGCGGAGCACUGAAUCGGAACCCUAGAUCGUCAUCCUCCUCAUCGUCGUCGGCUGUCUGCGACGCCAUCACUUGAGCAAGCCGCUGCGCCGCGGCCUUCGCUGCAACGUUUUGAGUACGCUUGAUGGUGGACAUACCUGACCCUAGCCGCAAGCUAGGGUGCGCCGGAGAUACCGCUGGCGAGGACGAUCCCGUGCUACUAGAACCACCACUCCAUUGCCGUGAGUAGACCGGGCUCUCCGUCGCCCUCCGGUCCAUCUGAAAGAGUAUUUAUAUAUCUAUGUAUAGGAACAUGUAGCGAAGCGAGGAUUUGGAGAAGCUAGGGAAGGGGGGAGAGACACAGAGAGAGAGAGAGAUAGUUGAGCGAGGAGCGUUUAUCAAGAAGUUGGUCACACAAUU
This 793-nucleotide unclassified non-coding RNA is filed under the name Hevea brasiliensis (rubber tree). The record is from RNAcentral. Lineage: Eukaryota; Viridiplantae; Streptophyta; Magnoliopsida; Malpighiales; Euphorbiaceae.